CCAUCUCUAAGUUGCGGUGCUCGCCAAGAACCAGAAUCUCUGGCAUCUCUACCAGGAUUAACGCUGUCUCUCCGGAAUGAAUCCCCACGGAAAAAUUCAGAGGAUGCACCACCGCCACCAUCGGAGAAACCGCGGUCCCGCUCGGGAAUGCUCAACCCCGUGUCCCGCUCAUCAUCCGCCCAAUCAGACUUAUGCGACAGUCGGACAAGCGGGAGAGGCCCGGG
Molecule: unclassified non-coding RNA, 224 nt
Filed under: Hevea brasiliensis (rubber tree)
Lineage: Eukaryota; Viridiplantae; Streptophyta; Magnoliopsida; Malpighiales; Euphorbiaceae
Source: RNAcentral